This 393-nucleotide ribosomal RNA is filed under the name uncultured actinomycete. RNAcentral describes it as "bacterial SSU rRNA". It matches the Rfam family "Bacterial small subunit ribosomal RNA", at positions 526 to 918 of the family's 1533-position model. Lineage: Bacteria; Bacillati; Actinomycetota; Actinomycetes; Actinomycetales. The record is from RNAcentral.
CGUACGGCGCGAGCGUUGUCCGGAAUUAUUGGGCGUAAAGAGCUCGUAGGUGGCUUGUCGCGUCUGCCGUGAAAGCCCGGGGCUUAACUGUGGGUCUGCGGUGGAUACGGGCCGGCUAGAGGUAGGUAGGGGCAAGCGGAAUUCCUGGUGUAGCGGUGAAAUGCGCAGAUAUCAGGAGGAACACCGGUGGCGAAGGCGGCUUGCUGGGCCUUACCUGACGCUGAGGAGCGAAAGCGUGGGGAGCGAACAGGAUUAGAUACCCUGGUAGUCCACGCUGUAAACGUUGGGCGCUAGGUGUGGGGUCCUUCCACGGGUUCCGUGCCGUAGCUAACGCAUUAAGCGCCCGCCUGGGGAGUACGGCCGCAAGGCUAAAACUCAAAGGAAUUGACGGGG